GCAGGCCCCGCCCAGUUAAAAAAAGUGUAUAAUGUUAUAACGGUUUGACAAAUUAGCAAUAACGAAACGAUGAGUCAAAUAGUGGUUUCCAGGUGUGUUCAGCUUAACGUCUUAGCAAUUGUGUAAGGUCUUUGAGGUUAGACAGACAACGGAAGAUAAAACGGAAUGUUAUAAUUACAAUCUUAGAAAAACUAAAACUUCUCGAAAAGUAUUACGUUUCUCUUAGAUUUUAUUUGUAGGAGGAAAAUAGAAAACAGAAAAAUCAUAGCUGUGUGAAGCGAAACCAACUUUGUGAGUUUUAUAUUUGCUUUUUUCUUUUUUGCUUGAGAGAGGAGUUCAGAAAUAACGGCCACACCGUUCCAUUUGCUGCAGACUUUGCAAGCAGUCACUCAGGUGAAAACAAGAAUAAUAGAUUGCUUUGACAGAAACUUGAACAUAAACGUCUCCAAGAAUCAAAUGUGGAGUGGUAUUGUUCCAUAGGCCUUCCCACACUUCGCCAAACUGACCAGAUCCUAAUCGCUUCAGAAGUUGUAUGGAGCUGCGGUCGAUCUCCCACUGGUCCACAGUUUUAUAUGACAAGCCAAUUGGAGCUGGG
This is a non-coding RNA of Vicugna pacos (alpaca), 595 nucleotides long. Lineage: Eukaryota; Metazoa; Chordata; Mammalia; Artiodactyla; Camelidae. The record is from RefSeq and is a predicted model, not a curated record.